CCUACGGGAGGCAGCAGUGAGGAAUAUUGGUCAAUGGCCGGAAGCCUGAACCAGCCAAGUCGCGUGCAGGAUGACGGUCCUACGCAUUGUAAACUUCUUUUAUCCAGGGAUAACACCCUCCUCGAGAGCCUGUCCGCAGGUACCUGUCGAAUAAGCAUCGGCUAAUUCCGUGCCAGCAGCCGCGGUAAUACGGAGGGCCCGAGCGUUAUCCGGAUUCAUUGGGGUUAAAGGGUGCGUAGGCGGGCUUUCAAGUCAGCGGUAAAAGCCCGCGGCUCAACCCCGCCGAGCAGUUGAAACUGGACGUCUUGAGUUGACAACAGGCAGGCGGAAUUCGCGGUGUAGCGGUGAAAUGCAUAGAUAUGGCGAGGAACCCCGAUUGCGAAGGCAGCAUGCCGGGGUGGGACUGACGCUGAGGCUCGAAGGUGCGGGUAUCAAACAGGAUUAGAUACCCGGGUAGUC
Molecule: ribosomal RNA, 459 nt
Filed under: uncultured bacterium
Lineage: Bacteria
Description: partial 16S ribosomal RNA
Rfam family: Bacterial small subunit ribosomal RNA
Source: RNAcentral